GAGAGAGAGAGAGAGAUACAGCGAUUGCGCACAAGAGAAGAAAGAGAGGAAGAACAAGAGAGAGGGGCUCAUCAGGAGGGAAUUUUUAUAGCCAAAAUCUAAUGGGGUCUUUGGGUCUGCAAACUGCCUUGUUGGUGUACAAUGAUUGGAUCAUACAGUAGUUGCUAAAGGUGUCAUCUUCUGCCUUCAGGCAGAUGAGGCAAGGGUCAGAUGUAGGUUUCCAUUGCACCAGAUUGGUGGGGGUCGAGUGUUCAGCCUUGAGUGGCAUUGAGUGUUCAGACUUGAUGCAAACAAGUGAUAAAGGACCAGACAGAGGGGGGGUUGAGCACCUGGGUUAUUCUGUAGCUAACAUUUAUUAAGCCUGCCCUGCACCUAAUGUUUCUCCCUUUUUGUUUUUCUAAGUGACGUGAGGGCGGUACAAACUUGGCUACUUUCUGCUGAGAGGGGGUGGUGUGGGGCCUACCUGGGAGAGCUGAGGUAUGUUUGGGGACGGGCUUGUGAAUACCAGGGUGGCUAGAGAUAAUGUCCAGUGGCUAUAGACAAUUAUCUCAGAAGGGGAAAAGUCCAUAAAGGUUCUUUGAAGCCAUAGGUUGUAAAUGGCAUCAAAUCAUUCCUGAGCAGUGGAGAUCCUGGGUAUCAGUCAUUGGUCCUGUUGUAGGGACUCUAGGAAAUAUCGGAGGUGGCUUGGUUUAAUCCAGUAAUGUUAAGGGUGACUGCCCGAUUGUAGCCAGUGGAAGGGCAAUAGUCUUGACCCAUAAACUGAGAGUGGGUGGUGUCAUCCUGGUACCAUGUUGCUUGGAUGUAGAAGUGCCAUCUGUGGUUUGAGAUAGAAAUUUGAGAGAGAUUGAUGAUUAGUAAAAGAAGAAGUGGGUUGGCGAAAAAUCUUGAAUCUGGUGGGCAUGGUGGAAGUUCAGUACUGGACAUUUGGAACAGGUGCUUUUUAAGGCGGGAGACGUGGUACCAGGGGGAGUAGCCCAACAGCUUGGCCACCGUUGGGGUAGUAAGUAUGACUCUAUGAGGUCCUGUCCAGUGAGGUUCCAACGACUGAGGAUGCAGUUCCUGAAGUAAUACUGAGUCACCCAGUUGAAGAGGGUCUGAUUCGGUUUGUGAUCGUGCUGGGAUUAAGGCAAUGAAUGGCACAGGAAGGCACUGGUCUGCCUGUUCUCUUAGGAGUUUGUGUAGAAGUGUGAGAUUGGGCAGGAAGGACACAAGGGGAGGAGGAGUAACUGGAAAGCUUUGGUUGGUUAAGAAAGGGCACCCAUAGAGUUCCUCAAAGGGGCUAAGGCCUGAGGGAGCUCUAAGGUCUGCCUGAAUUGGGGUGAGGGACAAUGGCAGGAGAUUGGGCCAGGAGAGCCUGAGUUCAGUAGCAAGUUUAGUGAGAUGAUCCUUAAGAAUGCUGUUAGCCCUCUCAACCUUACCCGAGGAUUGGGGUCAGUAGGGGAUGUGGAGUCUCCAAGUUAUGUUGAGGCUUUUGGAGACUAGUUGAAUGACCUGAGAAGUGAAUGCUGGACCGUUGCCUGACUAGAUGGAGGUGGGAAGUCCAAACCUGGGAAUGAUCUGCUCGAUGAGGAUGGAGCUGACAGUGUCAGCAAUCAUCUAUCCAACCUGAAAAAGUAUCAACCAAAGUAAGUAGAUAGUGAAGCUUUUUGUGCCUAGGUAUGUGAGUGAAGUUGAUCUUCCAGUCUUCACCUGGCUGGUGACUCCUCAUCUAAUGCAUGAGAAGUUUACGUUGUUGCUUCUUUGUGGGGAUACUGUAGAGCAGACAGAAUAAGCAGAUUGGACCUGCUGGAGAGUAGUUCUCAUUCCUAGGAAGUAAAAGAGGGGUUGUAAAAACUGGAAAAAGGGUUAGGGAGGGCUUUAGAUGGGGGCAGAGUGUCUGGAGCUGGAGGAGUUGGUCAUGAGUCGUAGGUCUCCGUCUUGGGUAUCAGGGGCUGGUAGUCUUGAAGAAGUAGUUGACUGACCAACUGAUUGGUGAAUUUGUGUAUCUGAUCUUGUAGGAACUUUUGUAGGCAAUUUAAUAAACAUGGUCCUAUUAGGAGAAACACAAAGAGGAUUAAUAGGGGUCCUAUGAGGAGGAGGAGCCAAGGCCAUAUUUUACUGAACAUUUCCCAUGGAAAUUGUUGGCCUAGUUGCUGUUUCCUCUUUUCUAGUUGUUCUUAUAAUUGUUUGAUCUUGUCCUUCAUUAACCCCAGGAAUGACUGUGUUUUGAUUUAACUGCUUUUGUUAGGUUAAUUUCAAGACCAAGCUGGUAAAAAUUGACUUUGUUUCUAUCUAUUGUUAAGAGUCAACUGAGUUCUCAUAGGGGUCACUCUUGGGGGAACUUGAGAGCAGCUUCUUAGUUCUGCUAGUUCCAUUGGCGCUAGGAUGGGUCCAGGUCUUGCUUGACCAUGUGGCUUCCCUUGGAAGCAUCAGGGAUGUCUCCUUUUUCCAAUGAUCCUGCUAUUUACAGCAAGUGCACUGAUUGGCUUUUCAUUCUCCAGUGUUCUCAUUAAUCUCCCUGAUCAGGAGGUUAUGUGGCCCAGAGUUGCAAAGCUCUUUAGAGAAUUUCCCUGUUUCCUGGAUUCAGACUGACUCAGGGGAUAAGCGCCAAAUAUUGGUUUUCUUGGCCAUUUUAAUUUAACUUUAAUUUUAAGUCUUGAUCUUAAACUUCUAGCAAGUCAGUCUCAUCAGUUUUAAAAUAAGAGUACUGGGCUUUAACUAAAGUCUGGCCUACUUUGGAGUCAUUCUGACAUGUAGUAAGGUAGGAGGUAGAGCCUUACCUCAGGUAAGGCGGGGCUCUAUAAAUCUUAGGUAAAGUGUUCUAGCACUGAAGCUGAUCUUUGCUUCAUAAAUAUCAUUUUAUAAAGCUUACAUAUAGUGUUGCUUGAGGUCACAUGAAUACUAGCUAACACAAUAUGAAACUACAUUUAAAUUGUACCCCAGUGUAUAGAACUUUAUAUUAAUAUUAUUGAUA
Molecule: long non-coding RNA, 2953 nt
Filed under: Marmota monax (woodchuck)
Lineage: Eukaryota; Metazoa; Chordata; Mammalia; Rodentia; Sciuridae
Source: RNAcentral